ACGCUGGCGGCGUGCCUAAUACAUGCAAGUUGAGCGAUGAAGGUUGGUACUUGUACCAACUGGAUGAGCAGCGAACGGGUGAGUAACGCGUGGGGAAUCUGCCUUUGAGCGGGGGACAACAUUUGGAAACGAAUGCUAAUACCGCAUAACAACUUUAAACAUAAGUUUUAAGUUUGAAAGAUGCAAUUGCAUCACUCAAAGAUGAUCCCGCGUUGUAUUAGCUAGUUGGUGAGGUAAAGGCUCACCAAGGCGAUGAUACAUAGCCGACCUGAGAGGGUGAUCGGCCACAUUGGGACUGAGACACGGCCCAAACUCCUACGGGAGGCAGCAGUAGGGAAUCUUCGGCAAUGGACGAAAGUCUGACCGAGCAACGCCGCGUGAGUGAAGAAGGUUUUCGGAUCGUAAAACUCUGUUGGUAGAGAAGAACGUUGGUGAGAGUGGAAAGCUCAUCAAGUGACGGUAACUACCCAGAAAGGGACGGCUAACUACGUGCCAGCAGCCGCGGUAAUACGUAGGUCCCGAGCGUUGUCCGGAUUUAUUGGGCGUAAAGCGAGCGCAGGUGGUUUAUUAAGUCUGGUGUAAAAGGCAGUGGCUCAACCAUUGUAUGCAUUGGAAACUGGUAGACUUGAGUGCAGGAGAGGAGAGUGGAAUUCCAUGUGUAGCGGUGAAAUGCGUAGAUAUAUGGAGGAACACCGGUGGCGAAAGCGGCUCUCUGGCCUGUAACUGACACUGAGGCUCGAAAGCGUGGGGAUCAAGCAGGAUUAGAUACCCUGGUAGUCC
Molecule: ribosomal RNA, 780 nt
Filed under: uncultured bacterium
Lineage: Bacteria
Description: bacterial SSU rRNA
Rfam family: Bacterial small subunit ribosomal RNA
Source: RNAcentral